This 1153-nucleotide ribosomal RNA is filed under the name Microbacterium oxydans. RNAcentral describes it as "bacterial SSU rRNA". It matches the Rfam family "Bacterial small subunit ribosomal RNA", at positions 303 to 1468 of the family's 1533-position model. The record is from RNAcentral. Lineage: Bacteria; Bacillati; Actinomycetota; Actinomycetes; Micrococcales; Microbacteriaceae.
CCCGCCCCCUUUGGAUUAAACCCGGUCCAGAUUCUUACGGGAGGCMGCCAUUGGGGAUUUUGCCUCAUGGGCGCAAGCCUGAUGCAGCAACGCCGCUGAGGGACGACGGCCUUCGGAUGUUAACCUUUUUUUAGCAGGGAAGAAGCGAAAAGUGACGGUACCUGCAGAAAAAGCGCCGGCUAACUACGUGCCAGCAGCCGCGGUAAUACGUAGGGGCGCAGCGUUAUCCGGAAUUAUUGGGCGUAAAGAGCUCGUAGGCGGUUUGUCGCGUCUGCUGUGAAAUCCGGAGGCUCAACCUCCGGCCUGCAGUGGGUACGGGCAGACUAGAGUGCGGUAGGGGAGAUUGGAAUUCCUGGUGUAGCGGUGGAAUGCGCAGAUAUCAGGAGGAACACCGAUGGCGAAGGCAGAUCUCUGGGCCGUAACUGACGCUGAGGAGCGAAAGGGUGGGGAGCAAACAGGCUUAGAUACCCUGGUAGUCCACCCCGUAAACGUUGGGAACUAGUUGUGGGGUCCAUUCCACGGAUUCCGUGACGCAGCUAACGCAUUAAGUUCCCCGCCUGGGGAGUACGGCCGCAAGGCUAAAACUCAAAGGAAUUGACGGGGACCCGCACAAGCGGCGGAGCAUGCGGAUUAAUUCGAUGCAACGCGAAGAACCUUACCAAGGCUUGACAUAUACGAGAACGGGCCAGAAAUGGUCAACUCUUUGGACACUCGUAAACAGGUGGUGCAUGGUUGUCGUCAGCUCGUGUCGUGAGAUGUUGGGUUAAGUCCCGCAACGAGCGCAACCCUCGUUCUAUGUUGCCAGCACGUAAUGGUGGGAACUCAUGGGAUACUGCCGGGGUCAACUCGGAGGAAGGUGGGGAUGACGUCAAAUCAUCAUGCCCCUUAUGUCUUGGGCUUCACGCAUGCUACAAUGGCCGGUACAAAGGGCUGCAAUACCGCGAGGUGGAGCGAAUCCCAAAAAGCCGGUCCCAGUUCGGAUUGAGGUCUGCAACUCGACCUCAUGAAGUCGGAGUCGCUAGUAAUCGCAGAUCAGCAACGCUGCGGUGAAUACGUUCCCGGGUCUUGUACACACCGCCCGUCAAGUCAUGAAAGUCGGUAACACCUGAAGCCGGUGGCCUAACCCUUGUGGAGGGAGCCUCGAAGUGAUCAU